GCCGCGUGCAGGAAGACGGCCUUCUGGGUGUAAACUGCUUUUGUACGGGAAUAAACACCAGUUGCGAGGUGGUUUGACGGUACCGAUAAAAUAAGGAUCGGCUAAUUCCGGGCCACCACCCGCGGUAAUACGGAGGAUCCAAGCGUUAUCCGGAUUCAUUGGGUUUAAAGGGGCCGUAGGUGGACAAUUAAUUCAGGGGUGAAAUCUUGCACCUCAACUGUGAAAUUGCCCUUGAUACUGUGUGUCUUGAAUCAUUGGAAGGUGGUUGAAAUAUGUAGUGUACCGGUGAAAUGCUUAGAUAUGACAUAAAAUACCAAUUGCAAAGGCACAUCACUACCGGUGCAUUGACCCUGAGGGACGAAAGCGUGGGGAGCGAACAGGAUUAAAUACCCUGGUAGUCCACGCCGUAAACGAUGGAUACUAGCUUUGGGAUACACGCUGGGUGGCUUGCGAAAGUGAUAAGUAAUCCACCUGGGGAGUACGCUCGCAAAAAUGAAAACCUAAAGGAAUUGACGGGG
Molecule: ribosomal RNA, 518 nt
Filed under: uncultured bacterium
Lineage: Bacteria
Description: bacterial SSU rRNA
Rfam family: Bacterial small subunit ribosomal RNA
Source: RNAcentral